GAGGGUGCGAGCGUUAAUCGGAAUUACUGGGCGUAAAGCGCUCGUAGGUGGCAUGCCAAGUCAAGGGUGAAAUCCCUGUGCUCAACAUGGGAACUGCCUUUGAAACUGGUAAGCUGGAGUGUGUGAGAGGAUAGUGGAAUUCCAGGUGUAGGAGUGAAAUCCGUAGAUAUCUGGAGGAACAUCAGUGGCGAAGGCGACUAUCUGGCACAUAACUGACACUGAGGAGCGAAAGCGUGGGUAGCAAA
RNAcentral lists this ribosomal RNA (245 nucleotides) under uncultured bacterium. Its description in RNAcentral is "partial 16S ribosomal RNA". It matches the Rfam family "Bacterial small subunit ribosomal RNA", at positions 528 to 772 of the family's 1533-position model. The record is from RNAcentral.